AAGAACCAUUUUUUUCUUCCAGGAGCAGAUUGAUCUUCCAGAGGUUCCCUCAGAGCCUCUCCCAGAAAAGAUUUCAGAAAAAUCGCCCAUCAGAAUCAAACCAAAGCCAGAAUUGAUUGCUGCAUCUUAACUCCACUACCUGCGGGGUAUCUCUGCAUUGAAUCUCGGAAUCCCAGCACGCCUGGGGUAUAGGAGGCCUCCUUGCUGGCUUUACCCAGCCAUACUGGAGCAGGUUUUCUGCACAGAAUGGAAGCUGUAACUGGUUAAUGUUCCCAUAUCAAGGUUAUUUUGUAGCGUGCACACUCCUCCUUUUUGUAACUUAAACGGGAUUAAACGGUGACUCUUAAACCUUCCAAGCCAAAUGCUUUCUGCGACCAGAUUUCAGCUACAGACCUGCCUCAGAUGCCAGCAGAGCCUCCCUGUCUUUCGCUCUCGCUCUCUCAGUUCCUGAUAACACGUUGGAGCAUGUUGUCACUGCUCGGCUAUCCAGAGGAAAGAACUUCUGUGGAACUUCUUGGCCUUCCUCUUGACUCAUUUCUCACUGGCUUUUCUGAAAGGCUGUUUUCUUUUGGCAAGGAUGGAAUCUCUGAACCUUGUUAAAUCUGUGGGUUUUGUGUGCCAAGAUGGGAGCAUCUCUUCUAUUAGUAGUUCCAGCUUCUUGUGUUAGGCUGCUAGUGGAGAUUCGAGAAGUUGAUUCCGUGUUCAGUGUGCUCUUGAGGUUAAUGCACUCCUAGGCCUGGGCACUGGGGAAUAAUGCAAGGCUGAUGGGCUCAUUCAUUAGAAGAAAUAAGUUUUGUUUCCUGCUGUGGGAGAAGUCUAAAUGGCUUGCUAAGGGUUUAUGCUUCGUGUGCUUCCCAGGCCGCCUGCUUUUUCCUUUGCCUCCAGAGUCCCACAGCAUGAAGAGGCUGAACAUAAGUUUGGCUUCUGAUAGCUUCUCAAAAACAAAUGAGUACAGUCAUAGCAGAGGGCUUUGUUAUGGCUCGGGCCCUCUUCAGCUUCGUAGAUCUGGGCAGUGGGCAUACUUUUUGUUUUUAAUGACAGAGCCACUUCUCAUCUUCAUUUGUGGGUUACUAGGUGGGCUUAAGAGCAGAGUGAAACAAUGCCACCCACAUGAUGCUCCUCAUAGAAAACCUGAAUGUCCCUUCACUAGUUAACACUUGAAGGCUGGGCUGUGAGAUAAAUAGACUUCCCUUGAGAGGAUGGUUCAUAUAUCAAUAAUACCCCAUCAUGUUGUAUUGAUUUUGAAAGUAUUCAAUUUACUUUGGGCUGGUAGUUAAACAAUGAAGGGGACUUGAAAGUUGCCUGUUCCCAGAUUGGACAAGAUAACGGCUGCAUUUGCAUUGUUCACCAGAGGGCAGUCUUACUCUAAGCUCUUCAUAACUAUGACUGAAGAAACAUUGAGUUGUGUGUCUUCACCUCUGAAUUGCUCCAGAAGGGUUACAUUUAUUUUUUAUUUCUUCAAGCAAAUGGCAAGGGAGCACCUGAAGGAAUGCAAGGUCCUGCUCUGGUGGUGUCCUGGGUAUCACACAGAUGGGGUUUCUUAAAAGGGCUUUAUUAGACAACCCCACACACACACCCACACCCCCGGUUUACAAUACAGCUCAGUGCCUGGGGAAAUAGAUGGAAUAAUGCUUCUGCUUUUUCCUUGCCAGUAAGAACAGGAACGAGAAGAACUAAUGAAAACCAAAUCUGCAAAGCCCAUGAAGAGAAAACACUACUGUGUGCCACGUGGCCUUAGAGAACAGGCUUGGACUUAGCUAAAUCGCUUUGUGAUUUCCUGAUCCAUACUCUUCUUGAUGACUCAGGUGGAAUUAAAAGUGUUGUUUAGCCUCCAG
Notechis scutatus (mainland tiger snake) is the source of this 1835-nucleotide non-coding RNA. The record is from RefSeq and is a predicted model, not a curated record. Lineage: Eukaryota; Metazoa; Chordata; Lepidosauria; Squamata; Elapidae.